RNAcentral lists this long non-coding RNA (3288 nucleotides) under Daphnia magna. RNAcentral's name for it is "uncharacterized LOC116933970". The record is from RNAcentral. Lineage: Eukaryota; Metazoa; Arthropoda; Branchiopoda; Diplostraca; Daphniidae.
UUUUCAUCAUUUGUCGGAACUCUGUCUGAGAAUUCGAACAAAAAGGAAAGGGAAAAAGGGAAACUGAAACAAGGAAAAAGGCUGCCAUCAACUCCUCCGUGUUGUUAAACAAAAUGUGACGUAACUUUGCAUCAGGAAAAAACAAUUACUAGGAACUUUGGGCCGACAUUGGCACUGGGUCUGGAAGGACGACAGUUUCCCGAAAAAUCAUAAAAAGCGCGUCCUUGAAAUUUGUGCACGCGUUUUUUAUUUGGAAAUAUUUUGACUGGUAGAUGUGUCGCCAGAGUGGUCGAGUCUCGGGACAGGAUAAGAGCAGUGUGUAAUUACAGUCGUCCUUCGAAUUAUUCGUCAGUGCUUUUUAGUAGCUGGGAUAACCAAGCAGCAGAAAGAGAGAAAAAAAUUGAAAAAUGAUUGGCUUGAAGCAGAAUUUCAACAAAUUCCGAGGGCAGUUAUAAAGCGACUGGUGCAAAGGAGGGACCGCAGGGGCCCCGAUUAGACGGUGGCUAGUCCUCGGCAACACAACGUUGGAAUUUGCCGAAAUCUUUAUUAAAAAUUCAACUUUUGGGAUUCUAGAUGUUGUAUUGUAGGGGUUUUCGCAUAGAAAGCUUUUCCAACCUUCGGGCCGUUCAAUAGCAACUGGAAAAACCUGGCCGUGGCAAAUGUGUGGAGGGACCAAGGAGACGAGCGUGUAAUGUGAAGAAAAUCGUUUCUGCUCUUGGCGACGUAAAUUUGCCCAAUCCAUAAAUUCUUGUGAUGUUGACUCGUUCAACUUCGAACGGGAUCGACGGGUCUUCUUGGCUCCCAAAGCGAGCGGUUUCAACUUGCUCAGUCCGACUGUUUUGCAUUUUUACGAUUAAGGCGAAAGCCAUUCUGUAAUAGGAAAAUUUAAUUAAAUGUCUCACGAUAUUUCAGUAUGGUGCAGGGCGGUCAAAUUUUCGCACCUUAUUCCGACGGACUUCAAACAGGGUCUGUAAUCGCGGGUUUUCAAUCCCGACUGCAAUCUAUUGAACUCGGGCAUACUCGAUUGGGUGUUGUUGAUUACAACAAAAGAAAUCGGAGCGUAUGCCCCAAUUGAAAACCCUAAUAGUGCCCCUUUCUACCAUGCUUACCUUGAUUUUUACCCCGAUUCCUCACCUGAAACUUGGUAAUUGUUUACUGCCCCUUACGACGAAUUCAUGUUUUCGAAUGAGAUACAUGGUAAAAAAAAACAAAUAAAACAAGCUGACAUUUUUCCUGUAAGGAUGCUAAACUUUUAAGAAGGAAAGUUCAACAUCGUCCUAGAGACCUAGACUCCUAGCUGCCAUAUCCUUUCUUUUAAGAGGCAACAAAAGUGACGAAAAUACAAGCGACAACAGUGUCAUCGCGCGGUGGAAAAACAAAGCUUGUACUCGCCGCCUGUUGAUCAUGGAAGAGAACCUAUAUAAAGCCAUGCACUUAUGUUUCAGGUCUUUUCAUUGCUAGAUAUUGACGAUGGUGGUCGUAAGUAUUGUCGUAGUCGAAUUUUAAUUUUUUAAUAUUGUAGUGGAGUUUUUGUUGCUUGUAGUUAAUCAUUACUUGAAUGUGCUGAUAAAAAUUAUUAUUUCCCCUUCUCUUUGAAACGUAUUUUUACUAAUGAAUUUUUGAAUGGGGGCCCAUGAAAAGGCGCUGCUGUGUUUUAGGUGAUGUGGUAGUCGAUAUUAAAUUAUUUGGAAUUAAGCGAAUAGUAUAUUUGUUGUAUGCAUUAUUAAAUAAUGUGGAUAAUUGUUCAAAAGUAGGGUGACCAUGGAUAACUUUGCAUUUCAACAGUUUUUUCUUCUGCUGGCACAUGCUGUCCAUGAGGCAACGUUUAAUGAAUUGCAGCUACUGUGAGUACAUAAUUUAUAAUGUUAAAGUAUGAUGAUUAAGUCUGUUUUCUAGGAUUAACACCUUAUUGUAUUAGAAGUAAUAUGUUUUACCUAAUCUGUACUACAUGGUUUGACAUGGUAUUCUAAUAUGAUUUAUUUAAAAAACUUGUUGGACCACUAUAUGAUGGCGAAGUAGCCUGGUGAUAUGCUCCUUACACGGUAACGUACCAUUUAGCAUACAUAUCUUUUCAGUGUAUGUUUUAAAGCAGUCUAAAGAAUGUAUAAUUUGUUCAAGUUUUCAUCCUUGAACAAUAAGUGUUACUGUAAUUAUUUUUCUAUACACCUGUUUUCUUUUAAGUUGGAAGAAGGUAUGCUUAGGGAAGCUCUUCUUUUUCACUCUGGUGGUCUGAUGAAGAUACAUCCUGUUGCUGCGUGGACCAUUGUUUGUUUAUUAUUACUGUGUGUUGACUCAUUACAGUCAUGAUGUUGCAUUGCAUUUGUCUCUUUGACGUGGUUGGAAUUUCUGUUCCUGUUAGAAAAACUGUUGAGGUCAUGGCUUAAUUCCAAGUUCCAUUUACCAGUUUGUAUCUUUAGGGUGAUUGAUGACAUAUGUGGUAAGUGGAGCAUUAGUGUUGGGUAAUAAUUGUAGGUCAGUAUUUAGUUAUUUGUUUUAUUUAACAACUCUUAGUGGCAGGAUGACUGAAAAACUUCCCUAGCAUAUGGACAGGGUACAUGGUGUUUGGUUGUUAUCCUGACCAUGUUGUACUCUGUGGUGGCCGAUUUAUGGUGGUGUUUUAAUAGAAUUUUGUCAAUCAAUAUGGUAUAUUGCUGAUUAAUAGUUACAUUUUUCUUUUUUUUUUGGUUUAUUAGUUAGUAGAAUUGUCAUCCGACGAUUGUGUUUCGGUUCUGAUCGAAAUUUCUACGGCCAACCGAGGGAUUUUAUAUGGUAAAUUUGGUAUAAAUUUUUUGGUGUUAAUUUGCUUAUUUCUUUCUACAGUACAAAGCGCCGUCUAUUUCAUUAUGCAUUCGCCACAGUUGAAACGCUGAAAAUGACGUCACAGAUAACGAAAUCUAACCAUAUUGAAAAUUGGAAGGAGAAUUUUUUUUUCUCAUGUUAAUUCAUUUUUAUAAAUUCAACAGUGCAUCUGUCAUUUUCUGUGGUUUUGUUUCACCUUUAUUUGUGAUAAAUCUGUGAGAUAGUCGUUAGAAAACUUGGAAGUGAUAAUCGUUAUGUGGGCACGGAAAUUACCAUUCCAUUUCCAUGUUUUCAGUGGGUUAUUGGUUUUCAAGAUUCUUACGUCGAAACUUAUUCUUAAAAGUUGUCAAAUUUCUUUUCCACGUUCUUUUUGCAAUACCACGAUUAUUUCUGAUGACGGAUCUUUCGACUGAAAUUGUUUUGCCCACACUAAUUGAUAAUGAUUUUUAAAUGAACAUUUGAGUUGACAAUAUAAAGCCUGAAAUUGAA